AUGAUAAACAGCCCUGGCACAUCAACACCUUCUGAGGCCAUGGAGCUCCUCCCCAGUCAGACACUGGCACAUUCAGUCACCUCCCCAAGAUGGGGGGGAGCAGAAUCUCUGGAAGGCCUCCUCGCUAUGGCUGAGUUCCCUAGAUCCAUGAACAUGGGAGGGUGUGGACAGGUUACAGGAGAAGGAGUGGUGUUGAAAACACCCUGCAAACUACACUUUGAUCAAAGCAGAAAUAAGCACUUUCACAUCAUAUCAAGGAGGCUAAUAAUGAAGGAGUCAGUAAAAAGGAGAGCAAUGCUAUGGGGGUUAUCUCACAACCCCAGAUGCUGGAUAAGUUGA
RNAcentral lists this long non-coding RNA (339 nucleotides) under Salvator merianae (Argentine black and white tegu). RNAcentral describes it as "lncRNA (ENSSMRG00000011433.1)". The record is from RNAcentral. Lineage: Eukaryota; Metazoa; Chordata; Lepidosauria; Squamata; Teiidae.